GACGAACGCUGGCGGCGCGCCUAACACAUGCAAGUCGAACGAGCGAGAGAGAGCUUGCUUUCUCGAGCGAGUGGCGAACGGGUGAGUAACGCGUGAGGAACCUGCCUCAAAGAGGGGGACAACAGUUGGAAACGACUGCUAAUACCGCAUAAGCCCACGGGUCGGCAUCGACCAGAGGGAAAAGGAGCAAUCCGCUUUGAGAUGGCCUCGCGUCCGAUUAGCUAGUUGGUGAGGUAAUGGCCCACCAAGGCGACGAUCGGUAGCCGGACUGAGAGGUUGAACGGCCACAUUGGGACUGAGACACGGCCCAGACUCCUACGGGAGGCAGCAGUGGGGAAUAUUGCACAAUGGGGGAAACCCUGAUGCAGCGACGCCGCGUGGAGGAAGAAGGUCUUCGGAUUGUAAACUCCUGUUGUUGAGGAAGAUAAUGACGGUACUCAACAAGGAAGUGACGGCUAACUACGUGCCAGCAGCCGCGGUAAAACGUAGGUCACAAGCGUUGUCCGGAAUUACUGGGUGUAAAGGGAGCGCAGGCGGGAAGACAAGUUGGAAGUGAAAUCUAUGGGCUCAACCCAUAAACUGCUUUCAAAACUGUUUUUCUUGAGUAGUGCAGAGGUAGGCGGAAUUCCCGGUGUAGCGGUGGAAUGCGUAGAUAUCGGGAGGAACACCAGUGGCGAAGGCGGCCUACUGGGCACCAACUGACGCUGAGGCUCGAAAGUGUGGGUAGCAAACAGGAUUAGAUACCCUGGUAGUCCACACCGUAAACGAUGAUUACUAGGUGUUGGAGGAUUGACCCCCUCAGUGCCGCAGUUAACACAAUAAGUAAUCCACCUGGGGAGUACGACCGCAAGGUUGAAACUCAAAGGAAUUGACGGGGGCCCGCACAAGCAGUGGAGUAUGUGGUUUAAUUCGACGCAACGCGAAGAACCUUACCAAGUCUUGACAUCCCUUGACGAACAUAGAAAUAUGUUUUCUCUUCGGAGCAAGGAGACAGGUGGUGCAUGGUUGUCGUCAGCUCGUGUCGUGAGAUGUUGGGUUAAGUCCCGCAACGAGCGCAACCCUUACUGUCAGUUACUACGCAAGAGGACUCUGGCAGGACUGCCGUUGACAAAACGGAGGAAGGUGGGGAGGACGUCAAAUCAUCAUGCCCUUUAUGACUUGGGCUACACACGUACUACAAUGGCGUUAAACAAAGAGAAGCAAGACCGCGAGGUGGAGCAAAACUCAGAAACAACGUCCCAGUUCGGACUGCAGGCUGCAACUCGCCUGCACGAAGUCGGAAUUGCUAGUAAUCGUGGAUCAGCAUGCCACGGUGAAUACGAUGCCGCCCCUUGCACU
RNAcentral lists this ribosomal RNA (1338 nucleotides) under uncultured bacterium. RNAcentral describes it as "bacterial SSU rRNA". It matches the Rfam family "Bacterial small subunit ribosomal RNA", at positions 28 to 1387 of the family's 1533-position model. The record is from RNAcentral.